This is a long non-coding RNA of Pyrus x bretschneideri (Chinese white pear), 2517 nucleotides long. RefSeq lists it as uncharacterized. NCBI's taxonomy places the organism in Eukaryota, Viridiplantae, Streptophyta, Magnoliopsida, Rosales, Rosaceae. The transcript is spliced from 9 exons. The record is from RefSeq and is a predicted model, not a curated record.
AUACUAAAACUCAGUUGAAGUCACUGUUCAUUAACAGUGGUUUGACGGAUUUGCCCUUCAAUUGUUACCUGUUUUCAGCCUUUUUCCUGCACAGCACGGUAAAUUUACUAAUUUACCUCUUCGGUCCGCGUGUCAGCCAUAGUAGAAGGGAAGUGAACAGGUGAGCGCUCUUCCUCUGCUUCUCUGGAGUUUUCUUUCUCAGAAAACUAAAACGUUGUUCUCGAGUGUUCUUAAUCACAAACGGAGAAAUUCCAAGGUAAUCCAGUCUCCUCGAAAUCCCUGCAUCAUCAAAACAUCCCUCAUCAGAAUCUGCACUCGCUUUAGCUCCGUUCAAGUUGUUGCUCCGUUGGAUGUCAUCUUCUCCUCCAGCGUCUCAUCCUCUCCUUCUCCUGGUUUUUGCGGUUUGGCUGAAUAGGGGUAAAUCUAGAGCUGCUGCUUUCUAAAAAGCUGAUGCGAAGUGAGCUUCUGUUUUCGGUUUCCGUUUUGCUCUCCUUUUUUUUAUCGUACAGCACGAAACAGCCAAGGAUCGUGCACGAAGUCCCCACCUCAGGUUAUCCGUCUUCCGUACCAUCUGUCUCUUCCCCAAGAUAAAAGAUUAAGGCUUUGAAUUGAGAGUGAGUAUUGCAAGGUUUUUUUGUUUCUCUGGUAUUGAUUCAGCGAGUUUGCAUGUGGCUGAAAAUGGUGUUUCAGUUGCGAGGAACAAGACAUUUACAAAGUAUAUUCAAGAAUGCAUGGUCGGUUCUUUCUGAUGUUACGAUUUUGUUAUCAAUUUAAAAACUGUGGUUUGUAUUUUUUUAGUAUUAUUUUGGCAUUUUGGUGCAAUGGAUUUUUUUGUACCUAAUUGCAGACCUUUCGUUUGCUCAUGAUUUAGUAGUCGACUGAGUAUCCAUGCUUAUACAUACUUUAAUCAUUUUUUUGGCAACAUGUGUUCAACAUAGAGAUACCUUUUGGUUUGUUGGUGAGGCAUUAUGAGUGCUUAUCAGUUAUUUACUAAAGGUGGUUUUAUACGAACUACUUGAACUUCUUGGGAUGCCUGUCUUAAAAGCAAAUGGAGAGGUUUUUGCACUGUGUAUGCAGUUAAAUGACGAUGUUGUAUUUCAUAUGCAAGAAAUGAUUUCAUCAAGUAUGUUGUAUCUACUAUAUAUGCAAAACAGAUUGCUAGCUAAUCUUAUUCUUAUUAACUCUUCCCUUUUACCUUUAGAUUUCUGUUACGAUGCAGGCUAUUGAAGUUGGAGAAAGUUUGCAUGCAAACUCUAUUUUGCAUAAUGUUCUUCAGAAAAUUCUAUUUGAGGAUGGGAACCACCUGUAUCGGUUCUUGGAUGAUGAUCCAAUUGUAUCUCAUUCAUGGUUCGAACAGUUAUCAGAAUAGGAAGGGAUAACUGAAUUGAUUUCAUGGAUUAAAUCCCGGUGAAAAGCACUUGCAGACUUGCAGAUGCACUAUGCACCUUGAGAAGCAGAGCGAUAUGUAGUGCCAACCUGAGUCACAGUUGAAGUUUAUUACAGAGGCCUGACUACAGUUGAAUAUAGGCGAGUACUAACAUGGACAUAUGCUAAUUGAUAUUAUUUGCCGGAGCAUGAACAUGCCAAGUUCUGAGUACUUGCAAGGUGAAGUUGAGUCUGGGUUGGAACGGCUUCAUCAAUGUGCAGAAAAUGAGAUCCAAGUUUACCUCAAUGAUAAGGAAUUUCAAUGAGUUUCGCACAAAACUUGCUGGAUAGACCAGGUUAUGUUCUACUAAAGAUAUUACGCUACUUUUCUGAUUGGAUAAGUUGACUCGGGUUACAAUGAUAUAGCUUUUCAGUUUAUUAAUGCUAACAUGUUAGUUUUGCUAAGUGGGAAUGCCAUAAUAUAAAUUUUAUAGAAAUGAUGAAUGGGCCAAUCUGAAGUAACAAAUUUCAACUGAUGAAUGAACUCUUAUAUGACUGCCACUGCAUAUACUCAUCUUUUAUUUUGUUGGGUUUUAUUUUUUUAUUUUUAUUUUCUUUUGGUAAAAUGCAAUGUUGGUUUCGCGAAGAACUGACCUCUAUCUUAUCUAUAGCUCUAUACGCAUGUAGUUUUUCUCUUUUUUGGUCUCGAGUAUUUGGUUGAUUUUAUUUAACAAUCUUUUGGAAUAUAGAGAAUUUUUGCACCAAUGUCUUAUUCCAGGAUUUCCUGAUGAUUUAGCAUUGAGAUGUUGGGCAAAGGUGUCUCAUGGGAACCACAGAUUACUCGAAACUAUCUCAAAGAAGUGGAGAGAUUUCUUAUUAGCUCAGACUAUGCCAACUAUGAAGCUAUAGAAAAAUGGUGCGGAAAUUGGCUGUUUGUUAUUGACGAGAUAUAAUCCAAUAGCUAAUAAGUAUGCUCCCAUAUUCGACACUUAAAAAUAUGUCUAGAACUGAUGUUACUAUUACAGUAUUCCUACUUUCAUUUUUACAGAAGAAAAGGUUUUUCAUUCUUUAUUUCUUGCUAUAUUAUGUUGGGUUGUGCAAACUAUUCAUUUGUAGGGGAUCCCUUCAUAUAUAUUAGUUAAUUCUUGCUAA